ACGAACGCUGGCGGCGUGCCUAAUACAUGCAAGUUGAGCGCUGAAGGUUGGUACUUGUACCAACUGGAUGAGCAGCGAACGGGUGAGUAACGCGUGGGGAAUCUGCCUUUGAGCGGGGGACAACAUUUGGAAACGAAUGCUAAUACCGCAUAAAACCUUUAAACACAAGUUUUAAGUUUGAAAGAUGCAAUUGCAUCACUCAAAGAUGAUCCCGCGUUGUAUUAGCUAGUUGGUGAGGUAAAGGCUCACCAAGGCGAUGAUACAUAGCCGACCUGAGAGGGUGAUCGGCCACAUUGGGACUGAGACACGGCCCAAACUCCUACGGGAGGCAGCAGUAGGGAAUCUUCGGCAAUGGACGAAAGUCUGACCGAGCAACGCCGCGGGAGUGAAGAAGGGUUUCGGAUCGUAAAACUCUGUUGGUAGAGAAGAACGUUGGUGAGAGUGGAAAGCUCAUCAAGUGACGGUAACUACCCAGAAAGGGACGGCUAACUACGUG
RNAcentral lists this ribosomal RNA (496 nucleotides) under uncultured bacterium. RNAcentral describes it as "partial 16S ribosomal RNA". It matches the Rfam family "Bacterial small subunit ribosomal RNA", at positions 29 to 507 of the family's 1533-position model. The record is from RNAcentral.